Long non-coding RNA from Humulus lupulus (European hop), 483 nucleotides. RefSeq lists it as uncharacterized. Lineage: Eukaryota; Viridiplantae; Streptophyta; Magnoliopsida; Rosales; Cannabaceae. The transcript has 4 exons. The record is from RefSeq and is a predicted model, not a curated record.
CAACAAUAUCACUAGUGCAAUUUCAUCGAAUAACGGAGAGCUCCAACAGUUACAAAAACUGUAAGUUAAUUAAGAAACUCACUGGUACAUUUGGUUAACUCUUUCUCUCUAAGAAAAGCUGUCAUUUUUUUUGGCAGUAACUUGGUUGGCAACAACUUUACAAUGAAUGGCUCAAACAACAGGAAAGCCUUAACAUACAUGGUGGGGCUGUAUCAUUGGGACACCCAUUAGGAUGCAGUGGAACUCGUAUCUUGGUCACAUUGUUAGGGGAAGGCAAUGUUGCCAACCAGAGGGAACAUCUAAUUCUUCUCCUUGCCAAUAUUCACAUUCAGAAAGCUAAACAAGCAAUCUGUCUUGAAGAUGGAAGGUGAUCAACAGAGAGCCUCUGAACAGACUAAGAACAUCUUAAGUAAUUUAGUUGCUGCUGUUGACAAUUUGUGGUAUCUAAAAGAUGGAAUACAUACUGCAGUCUUGAAAAAGCUU